Molecule: small RNA, 307 nt
Filed under: Histoplasma capsulatum
Lineage: Eukaryota; Fungi; Ascomycota; Eurotiomycetes; Onygenales; Ajellomycetaceae
Also listed under: 1 other name
Description: hypothetical RNA
Source: RNAcentral
UCCCCGGGCCCCCUCCCUCCAAAAUUAAAACGAACAGAUAAUAAGAAGAAAGCGCAAAUAUAAAACCGUGCCAAGCGCCCUCCUUACUCCCGUUCGUGAGUGCGCCACUAUUUUGAGGAUGCUGAACUUUAAAAAUUAUAAUCAAUCACCACGCAUCUAUAUACCCACUAGAAGCUGUACAAUCUGCCACAAACUGAGAUGUGAUAGAAUUAUUAUUAAACCUUAUAUUUUUUAUCAGAUAUUUAUUUUAAAUUUAUAAACUUCUACUUCAAUCUACUGAUCAAUGAAAUUUUAAAGAUGAAGAAUA